Molecule: non-coding RNA, 89 nt
Organism: Salmo salar (Atlantic salmon)
Lineage: Eukaryota; Metazoa; Chordata; Actinopteri; Salmoniformes; Salmonidae
Source: Rfam
GUCCCUGUAGCUCAGUUGGUAGAGCAUGGUGUUUGCAACACAUGGUGUUUGCAACGCCAGGGUUGUGGGUUCUAUUCCCACGGGGGGCC